CAGUAGCCGCGGUAAUACGUAGGUGGCAAGCGUUGUCCGGAAUUAUUGGGCGUAAAGCGCGCGCAGGCGGAUCAGUUAGUCUGUCUUAAAAGUUCGGGGCUUAACCCCGUGAGGGGAUGGAAACUGCUGAUCUAGAGUAUCGGAGAGGAAAGUGGAAUUCCUAGUGUAGCGGUGAAAUGCGUAGAUAUUAGGAAGAACACCAGUGGCGAAGGCGACUUUCUGGACGAAAACUGACGCUGAGGCGCGAAAGCCAGGGGAGCGAACGGGAUUAGAUACCCCCGUAGUCCCUGUCUUUAUACAC
Molecule: ribosomal RNA, 301 nt
Filed under: uncultured bacterium
Lineage: Bacteria
Description: partial 16S ribosomal RNA
Rfam family: Bacterial small subunit ribosomal RNA
Source: RNAcentral